Molecule: ribosomal RNA, 503 nt
Filed under: uncultured bacterium
Lineage: Bacteria
Description: partial 16S ribosomal RNA
Rfam family: Bacterial small subunit ribosomal RNA
Source: RNAcentral
AUUGAACGCUGGCGGCAGGCUUAACACAUGCAAGUCGAGCGGGGUGAUGGUGCUUGCACUAUCACUUAGCGGCGGACGGGUGAGUAGUGCUUAGGAAUCUGCCUAUUAGUGGGGGACAACAUCUCGAAAGGGAUGCUAAUACCGCAUACGUCCUACGGGAGAAAGCAGGGGAUUACUUGUGACCUUGCGCUAAUAGAUGAGCCUAAGUCGGAUUAGCUAGUUGGUGGGGUAAAGGCCUACCAAGGCGACGAUCUGUAGCGGGUCUGAGAGGAUGAUCCGCCACACUGGGACUGAGACACGGCCCAGACUCCUACGGGAGGCAGCAGUGGGGAAUAUUGGACAAUGGGGGGAACCCUGAUCCAGCCAUGCCGCGUGUGUGAAGAAGGCCUUAUGGUUGUAAAGCACUUUAAGCGAGGAGGAGGCUCUUUUGGUUAAUACCCAAGAUGAGUGGACGUUACUCGCAGAAUAAGCACCGGCUAACUCUGUGCCAGCCGCCGCCGUAA